RNA transcript from Aethina tumida (small hive beetle), 3289 nucleotides. It is a transcript of the gene named proline dehydrogenase 1, mitochondrial, with no coding region annotated. The record is from RefSeq and is a predicted model, not a curated record. The transcript is spliced from 13 exons. Lineage: Eukaryota; Metazoa; Arthropoda; Insecta; Coleoptera; Nitidulidae.
UAGCCAAGAGUCCGUGAGCGCGCGCGUGCCCCGCUCACCGUUAAGCCGCCGGCCCGGUCCGUUGCUGUGCGCCUGUGCGACACACACACCGCCACCGCUCCGCCGCGGCCGCCCGCUCACUUGUGAACGAGCCAACCCCCGUCAGUACGUGCCAGUCUCACGCCGUUCCCGUACGCCAGUGUGUGUGUGUCCGACUGAAAAGCCGCAUCGUCCGAUCGUCGGUGUGCCCCCAAUUAGCUCGGUACCAACUGGUCGACGGUGUCCCACACGUUCGUCCGCUCCACAGCUCCGAAACAAACCCGAAUGGCGUAUCUGCGGCCGUUGAUCAGAUGCGGCCUGCGUACGAAGUGCAGGGGGGCCGCCGGUCCGCCGGUCUGGCAGCCGUCGGCGGCCAUGAAGUCGACGGUGUCGCAGACGGCGGUCGCCGCCCCUGCACAGGACGCCAAGUCGCCGAAGGACGCGCUCGACAUCACGUUCGAGGACGCCAGGGCGGCGUUCAAGAGCAAAACGAACUGGGAACUGAUACGUGCCUACAUCGUCUACACGAUGUGCUCGUUCGAGACGAUCGUCGACAAUAACAUGAAGCUGAUGAAGCUGGCCAAGGGGGUGCUGGGCGAGCGGCUGUUCAUUACCAUGAUGAAGGCAACGUUCUACGGCCACUUCGUGGCCGGCGAGGACCAGUACAAAAUCCGACCGACGCUGGAGAGGUUACGCAGCUUCGGCGUCAAGCCCAUCCUCGAUUACUCGGUGGAGGAGGACCUGUCGCAGGAGGAGGCCGAGAAACGUGAAGUCGAGGCUUCGGUGCCGGAGGCCGGCGACAAGGUGGAGGACGGGUCGAUCAAACAGUACCAUGUGGACAAGACGUUCGCGGACAGACGGUACAAGGUGCAGUCGGCCAGGACGUACUUCUAUUUGAACGAGGCCACGUGCGAGAGGAACAUGGAGACCUUCAUCAAGUGUCUGGAGGCGAUCGCAGAUUUCCAGAAAGGGGGUCCAGGUGCCACAUACGGCACCGGCAUCACAGCCAUUAAACUAACGGCGUUGGGACGGCCCCAGCUAUUGCUUCAAUUGUCCGAAGUGAUAAUGAGGACGCGUCAGUACAUGACCGAAAUAAUGGGCGGCGAGGGCAACGUGCUGAGCCACCACGUCACACCCGAGGACCUCGAGAAGAAGUUCCAUUCCAUAUCCGACAAGGAGUCGCUGAAAAAGUUCCUAAAGCAGAUCACCUACGACAAGCAAGGCAUCCUUCACCUGUUCCCCUGGUCGGGCAUCAUCGACGAAAAUCAGGAGCUGAGCAACACGUUCCGCGUGCCGGACCUCAAGACCGGCCGCAUGGCCCGUCUCAUCACCCAACUCUCCACGAAAGAGGAGGAGAUGUUCAGGAAUAUGAUCCGCAGAGUCAACACCAUCGUUAAGGCAGCACAAGACAUGGACGUCCGCAUAAUGGUCGACGCCGAACAGACGUACUUCCAGCCGGCGAUCACGCGUAUCACCCUCGAAUUCAUGCGCAAGUACAACAAGGAGAAGGCCAUCGUGUUCAACACCUACCAGUGUUACCUCAGGAACGCGCUGACGGAGGUCACCACCGAUCUCGAACAGGCCAAACGUCAGAACUUCUAUUUCGGCGCCAAACUGGUGCGCGGCGCCUACCUCGAGCAAGAGAGGGCGCGCGCCGCCGCCAUGGGCUACCCCGAUCCGACGAACCCGAACUUCGAGGCCACCUCCGACAUGUACCACAAAACGCUGACCGAAUGUCUGCGGCGCAUCAAGGCGUUCAAGGACAAGGGUGAGGACAAGAAGAUCGCCAUCAUGGUGGCGUCCCACAACGAGAACACCGUACGAUUCGCCAUCGAGAAGAUGCGGGAGUACUCCAUCGAACCGAGUGACAAGGUGAUCUGUUUCGGCCAACUGUUGGCCAUGUGCGACUACAUCACAUUCCCGCUAGGUCAAUCCGGGUAUUCGGCGUACAAAUACAUACCUUACGGUCCCGUGAACGAAGUGUUGCCAUACUUGUCCAGGAGGGCGCACGAAAAUAAGGGCGUGCUGAAGAAGAUCAAGAAGGAGAAGAGACUACUGGCGAAGGAAAUUGUCAGGCGCCUCGCCACCGGCAAGCUCAUCUACACGCCCAAAGGAAACUAUACUCCCGUUUAAAUUGUUAUUUAAUGAAAAUUACCGAAAAUGUACUUUUAAAUGUUGUCUAAAAAGUUAGGACAAACGACGACAAGAGUAGAAUAAGUAGUUUAUAAUUAAAAAAAAGACAGUCCAACUAAAAAUUAUGAAAACCUUAUAUUUAUCCAUCUGCGUGAAAUACUGAUUCGUUGUAUUUGUUUUAAAAAAAAAUAAGUAAUGGACUCCCUGUGAAUGUGGCCUAUUAGAUCUUUGAAGUUUCCUUGUAAAAAAAAAAUGGUUUUUAACUUUAAUUUUUGUGGACAUAAAAAAAAGGCUGAUAAUGUGGUGACAAUACGCGUGUGGCGCCGGCGAAAUAAAACCGUCCCCCGUCGACGCUUUUAUUCCGCCGCACAGUUAUGGGACGCAGAAUCACGACGCAAGCACACUCACACACACGCGCAGAGAUUCGGAUGGAGCGACGCCCGAAACUGCUUUAGUAUUAAAGUAAUUAAACGUUAGUUAGAUGGAAAUUGUGUACAGAAUAUGCGUGGAUGUGGUGAUGAGAGGGCCGCUUUCGUCCCGGCGUUCGCUUCCCGCCCAAAAGCCGCCCCACCCCGCCGUUUGUACAAUGUAUUAUAUGUUUUUUGAUCUGUUCAGGGCGGGCGUUGAAGUUUUUAGGACAACGGUGGAAUUUUUAUGGUCGACGCAUAAAAAUUUCGACCCUUUGCCGGUUGACUUCUUCGUUUCGUGCCUGCGGCGUCAGUUAUUACUAUUGACAGGGCGAAAACCGAGUCAAUUAAUUUGUUGAUAGUAACGGCUGAUUGUGUUUAAUUUAUUGUUUUUGUUUCCCUCCUGUAUUAUUUUUUUUUUUUUUGCUUAAAUAGUGUCUGUGAUUUUUUUCUAGAUUUUUACAUGAAUCUGCGUUAAUUUUUUGGUGUGAUUGCAAAAUAAAACACUAUACGAUUCAUUUGUUUGAGUUUGAACCUUUGUUUAGAUCCAGCAACGUUAUUAUUAUAGUCAUGAAAGUGAACAUAGCGAAUAGAUUUUAGUUUACUAAAAUAUGAUUAUUUUUUGGCGUUUGGAAAGCUGUUGUGCACCUUUAUAAUUUUAAUGAAACUCUUAUGGAUUCAAAUUGUUCAGACAAUAAAUUGCAAGUGAAUAAAUGUUGAUAAAUGUUUAA